GAUGAACGCUAGCUACAGGCUUAACACAUGCAAGUCGAGGGGAAACGAUGAGAGAGCUUGCUCUCUUAGUCGUCGACCGGCGCACGGGUGAGUAACGCGUAUCCAACCUGCCUCUGACCAAGGGAUAACCCGUCGAUAGUCGGACUAAUACCUUAUGCAGUCGUCGGAAGUCAUCUGAUGACGCCGAAAGAUUUCAUCGGUGAGAGCUGGGGAUGCGUCUGAUUAGCUUGUUGGCGGGGUAACGGCCCACCAAGGAGACGAUCAGUAGGGGUACUGAGAGGAAGGUCCCCCACAAUGGAACUGAGACACGGUCCAAACUCCGACGGGAGGCAUCAGUGAGGAAUAUUGGUCAAUGAGCGUAAGCCUGAACCAGCCAAGUAGCGUGCAGGAUGACUGCCCUAUGUGUAGUAAACUGCUUUGAUGCGGGGAUAAAGUGAGUGACGUGUCCUUCAUUGCAGGUACCGAAUGGAUAAGGACCGGCUAAUUCCGUU
RNAcentral lists this ribosomal RNA (491 nucleotides) under uncultured bacterium. Its description in RNAcentral is "partial 16S ribosomal RNA". It matches the Rfam family "Bacterial small subunit ribosomal RNA", at positions 28 to 507 of the family's 1533-position model. The record is from RNAcentral.